Molecule: ribosomal RNA, 1480 nt
Filed under: uncultured organism
Description: bacterial SSU rRNA
Rfam family: Bacterial small subunit ribosomal RNA
Source: RNAcentral
GAGUUUGAUCCUGGCUCAGAACGAAUUCUGGCGGCAGGCCUCAUACAUGCAAGUCUAACGAACCCUUCGGGGUGAGUGGCGCACGGGUGCGUAACACGUGGGAAUAUGCCCAUUGGUACGGAAUAACUUUUGGAAACGAAAGCUAAUACCGUAUAGUCCCUCCGGGGUAAAGAUUUAUCGCCAAUGGAUUAGCCCGCGUCUGAUUAGCUAGUUGGUAGGGUAAUGGCCUACCAAGGCGACGAUCAGUAGCUGGUCUGAGAGGAUGAUCAGCCACACUGGGACUGAGACACGGCCCAGACUCCUACGGGAGGCAGCAGUAGGGAAUAUUGGACAAUGGGCGCAAGCCUGAUCCAGCCAUGCCGCGUGAGUGAAGAAGGCCUUCGGGUUGUAAAGCUCUUUUAACUGUGAAGAUAAUGACGGUAGCAGUAGAAAAAGCCCCGGCUAACUUCGUGCCAGCAGCCGCGGUAAUACGAAGGGGGCAAGCGUUGUUCGGAAUUACUGGGCGUAAAGCGUGCGUAGGCGGCCAAGCAAGUUGGAAGUGAAAUCCCAGGGCUCAACCCUGGAACUGCUUUCAAAACUGCUUGGCUAGAAUCUCGGAGAGGAUAGCGGAAUUUCCAGUGUAGAGGUGAAAUUCGUAGAUAUUGGAAGGAACACCAGUGGCGUAGGCGGCUAUCUGGACGAGUAUUGACGCUAAGGCACGAAAGUGUGGGGAGCAAACAGGAUUAGAUACCCUGGUAGUCCACACCGUAAACGAUGUGUGCUAGUUGUCGGGCAGUAUACUGUUCGGUGACGCAGCUAACGCAUUAAGCACWCCGCCUGGGGAGUACGGCCGCAAGGUUAAAACUCAAAGGAAUUGACGGGGACCCGCACAAGCGGUGGAGCAUGUGGUUUAAUUUGACGCAACGCGGAGAACCUUACCAGCCCUUGACAUCCUGGUCGCGGGGAGUGGAGACACACCCUUUCAGUUCGGCUGGACCAGUGACAGGUGGUGCACGGCUGUCGUCAGCUCGUGUCGUGAGAUGUUAGGUUAAGUCCUGCAACGAGCGCAACCCCUAUCGUCUGUUGCCAUCAUUAAGUUGGGCACUCUGGCGAGACUGCCGGUGAUAAGCCGGAGGAAGGCGGGGAUGACGUCAAGUCAUCAUGCCCCUUAUGGGCUGGGCUACACACGUGCUACAAUGGCGGUGACAAUGGGCAGCGACCUCGCGAGGGGAAGCAAAUCCCUAAAAACCGUCUCAGUUCGGAUUGCACUCUGCAACUCGAGUGCAUGAAGUUGGAAUCGCUAGUAAUCGUGGAUCAGCAUGCCACGGUGAAUACGUUCCCGGGUCUUGUACACACCGCCCGUCAAGUGAUGGGAAUUGGUUUCACCUGAAGCCGGUGCGCUAACCUUUUGGAAGCAGCCGACCACGGUGGGAUCAGUGGCUGGCAAUAAGUUGUAACAAGGUAGCCGUAGGGGAACCUGCGGCUGGAUCACCUCCUUUCU